GACGAACCGUGCGAACGUUAUUCGGAAUCACUGGGCUUAAAGCGCGUGUAGGCGGGCCGGCACGUCGGUCGCUGAAAUCCCCCGGCUCAACCGGGGAAGUGGCGCCGAUACGACCGGCCUGGAGGGGGGUAGGGGGCGCUGGAACUCACGGUGGAGCGGUGAAAUGCGUUGAGAUCGUGAGGAACGCCCGCGGCGAAAGCGAGCGCCUGGACCCUUUCUGACGCUGAGACGCGAAAGCCAGGGGAGCGAACGGGAUUAGAUGACCCCGG
Molecule: ribosomal RNA, 269 nt
Filed under: uncultured bacterium
Lineage: Bacteria
Description: partial 16S ribosomal RNA
Rfam family: Bacterial small subunit ribosomal RNA
Source: RNAcentral